RNAcentral lists this ribosomal RNA (205 nucleotides) under uncultured Mesotoga sp. RNAcentral's name for it is "partial 16S ribosomal RNA". It matches the Rfam family "Bacterial small subunit ribosomal RNA", at positions 568 to 774 of the family's 1533-position model. Lineage: Bacteria; Thermotogati; Thermotogota; Thermotogae; Kosmotogales; Kosmotogaceae. The record is from RNAcentral.
AGCGUAGGUGGCCUAACAUGUCAACUGUGAAACCCGGAGCUCAACUCCGGACUUGCAGUUGAAACUGGUAGGCUUGAGGACGGUAGAGGAAGACGGAACUGCCAGUGUAGGGGUAAAUCCUUAGAUAUUGGCAGGAACGCCGGUGACGAAGGUGGUUUUCUGGGCCGGUUCUGACACUGAUGCUCGAAAGCCAGGGGAGCGAACG